This 468-nucleotide ribosomal RNA is filed under the name uncultured bacterium. RNAcentral describes it as "partial 16S ribosomal RNA". It matches the Rfam family "Bacterial small subunit ribosomal RNA", at positions 28 to 507 of the family's 1533-position model. The record is from RNAcentral.
GACGAACGCUGGCGGCGUGCUUAACACAUGCAAGUCGAACGGAAAGGCCCUGCUUUUGUGGGGUGCUCGAGUGGCGAACGGGUGAGUAACACGUGAGUAACCUGCCCUUGACUUUGGGAUAACUUCAUGAAACUGGGGCUAAUACCGGAUAGGAGCUCCUGCUGCAUGGUGGGGGUUGGAUAGUUUCGGCGGUUGGGGAUGGACUCGCGGCUUAUCAGCUUGUUGGUGGGGUAGUGGCUUACCAAGGCUUUGACGGGUAGCCGGCCUGAGAGGGUGACCGGCCAAAUUGGGACUGAGAUACGGCCCAGACUCCUACGGGAGGCAGCAGUGGGGAAUAUUGCACAAUGGGCGGAAGCAUGAUGCAGCAACGCCGCGUGCGGGAUGACGGCCUUCGGGUUGUAAACCGCUUUCGCCUGUGACGAAGCGUGAGUGACGGUAAUGGGUAAAGAAGCACCGGCUAACUACGUG